GAUGAACGCUAGCGGCAGGCUUAACACAUGCAAGUCGAGGGGUAUUUAUCUUCUGUUAGAGAGACCGGCGCACGGGUGCGUAACGCGUAUGCAAUCUACCUUUUACAGAGGGAUAGCCCAGAGAAAUUUGGAUUAAUACCUCAUAGUAUAUAGACUCGGCAUCGAGUUUAUAUUAAAGUCACAACUGUAAAUUAUGAUCAUGCCUCCCAUUAGCUAGUUGGUAAUGUAACGGCUUACCAAGGCUACGAUGGGUAGGGGUCCUUAGAGGGAGAUCCCCCACAAUGGUACUGAGACACGGACGAGAAUGCUACGGGAGGGAGCAGAGAGGAAGAUUGAACAAUGGGCGCAAGCAUGAUAAAGCCAUGCCGCGUGCAGGAUGACGGUCCUAUGGAUUGUAAACUGCUUUUAAAAGAGAAGAAACACUGAUAAGUGUAGCAGCUUGACGGUAUCGUAAGAAUAAGGAUCGGCUAACUCCGUG
Molecule: ribosomal RNA, 478 nt
Filed under: uncultured bacterium
Lineage: Bacteria
Description: partial 16S ribosomal RNA
Rfam family: Bacterial small subunit ribosomal RNA
Source: RNAcentral